RNAcentral lists this ribosomal RNA (274 nucleotides) under uncultured bacterium. Its description in RNAcentral is "partial 16S ribosomal RNA". It matches the Rfam family "Archaeal small subunit ribosomal RNA", at positions 473 to 747 of the family's 1478-position model. The record is from RNAcentral.
AACCCAGCACCUCAAGUGGUCAGGAUGAUUAUUGGGCCUAAAGCAUCCGUAGCCGGCUCUGUAAGUUUUCGGUUAAAUCUGUACGCUCCACGUACAGGCUGCCGGGAAUACUGCAGAGCUAGGGAGUGGGAGAGGUAGACGGUACUCGGGAGGAAGUGGUAAAAUGCUUUGAUCUUUCGAUGACCACCUGUGGCGAAGGCGGUCUACCAGAACACGUCCGACGGUGAGGGAUGAAAGCUGGGGGAGCAAACCGGAUUAGAGACCCGAGUAGUCC